CCACAUCACGUUGAAACAUCAGUUCCCAUACAAUCAUUGAAGUUAAACAAUGUUGAGCCUGGUCAGUACCUAGAUGGGUGACCACUUGCGAAUACC
Molecule: non-coding RNA, 96 nt
Organism: Acanthosepion pharaonis
Lineage: Eukaryota; Metazoa; Mollusca; Cephalopoda; Sepiida; Sepiidae
Source: the annotation of a GenBank genome assembly